RNAcentral lists this transfer RNA (98 nucleotides) under Gammaproteobacteria bacterium. Its description in RNAcentral is "tRNA-Ser". It matches the Rfam family "tRNA". From Rfam's summary of the family: Transfer RNA (tRNA) molecules are approximately 80 nucleotides in length. Their secondary structure includes four short double-helical elements and three loops (D, anti-codon, and T loops). RNAcentral also lists the same sequence under 1 other name. The record is from RNAcentral. Lineage: Bacteria; Pseudomonadati; Pseudomonadota; Gammaproteobacteria.
GGAGGCGUAGCCCUAAUUGGUAAGGCACCNNUGGUAAGGCACCGCACUCGAAAUGCGGCGGGCGCAAGCCCUUGGGGGUUCGAGUCCCUCCGCCUCCG